UAGCACAGCGGUGUAAACAUGUUGAUUUAUGUGACAUUUCCAAGAAGAAGCGACAACAGAAAUCUCGUUCUGUGAAACAAUUAAAUAUAGUAGAUCUAUAUUGACAAAAGAAACAGUAUGCACAAUGAGUCAGGCUGGUACAUGAGGAAAAUUUCAACCAAUUUCACAAUGAUGGCAUGUUUCAUCUUUGUGCACUUCAUUGUUCCUGCUUGUGUUUCUAACAUUUAUCUGCCGACUACAAAAUAAGAGCGACAUGUUUAAUUCAGCGUGUCCUCGCUUCUGUUCUUGGAGUGCUUUAUGCAACUGCUCUAGCCUUGAAUUGGCAGGAAAAACAAGAUUUCCUGGUGGGGGGGGGGGGGGGGGGGGGGGUUGAGAAGAAGUUCAUUUUCCUCAUCCUGUUCCAAACACAAGGCUUUUCUUUUUUCUUGUCCAUUUUCUUUUUUUUUUUUUUUUUUUUAAACCACAGCAGCAGGCCCAUGUUUGUCUCCUUGUCACAGCUGUGCUCAGCAGAGAGGGUUGACCUUGGGGACAAUGACACCACACAAAGCAGCUAGCCGAGGCCGUGACCAGAACCACUGCGAGCACCCCUUGUCAAAACUGAAUGGCGGAAUUGGAGUGGACUAUCCAAAACGGGCUGGAAGUGCGAUAAUAAUGCAGCUAUAGAAAAGAAAAGUGAGUAAAGUAUGUACCUGGCGUUGUCGUCGAUGGAGGGUCGGGGUGCUGUCCAUAGAGGAGGUGGCACUGAGGGCAUUGUCUAUUUCCUGGUCCAACUGGUCCAGCUUCAUCAGCAGCAACACCAUCGA
This is a long non-coding RNA of Labrus mixtus (cuckoo wrasse), 803 nucleotides long. RefSeq lists it as uncharacterized. NCBI's taxonomy places the organism in Eukaryota, Metazoa, Chordata, Actinopteri, Labriformes, Labridae. The record is from RefSeq and is a predicted model, not a curated record. The transcript has 3 exons.